Long non-coding RNA from Equus quagga, 473 nucleotides. RefSeq lists it as uncharacterized. The transcript has 2 exons. The record is from RefSeq and is a predicted model, not a curated record. NCBI's taxonomy places the organism in Eukaryota, Metazoa, Chordata, Mammalia, Perissodactyla, Equidae.
CAGGGAUGAACCACCGGAGCCCAGCCUGAGUCACUCAGUGAGUCACUCAGUGAGCCACUCAGUGAGUCACCGAAGCGGCCGGCUGAGGAGGCAGGCGGCACCCACAGACGGGAGCCCACCAGGGUCUGCGGCAGGAAGGCGGGGCGCCUACCACAGCAUGGCUUGCCAAGCAGCGCUGUCUCCAAACCCGGGCUCCGAACCUGCGAACCCCUGGCCGCUGAGAAGCGGAACGUGCGCACUUAACAGCUGCGCCACCGGCCGGCCCCUGGACUCUUCUGAUGACUUCUGCCUGCCUUUCUGAAAAUGCCCGUCCUGCCUUCCCCCGACUUUCCCGCCCCAGGCCCCCCAACACUCCCUGCCCCCAGAGCAGAUCCCACCCCUCCGACCUGACUUCUCGGAUACCUGAAACUGCCCAGAGACCCAUUAUUUUUCCGGGACACUCCCAGGAAGAUAAAUUUGUCCGUUCUCCUUGA